This 1464-nucleotide ribosomal RNA is filed under the name Salmonella enterica. RNAcentral describes it as "partial 23S ribosomal RNA". It matches the Rfam family "Bacterial large subunit ribosomal RNA", at positions 1292 to 2739 of the family's 2925-position model. RNAcentral also lists the same sequence under 1 other name. The record is from RNAcentral. Lineage: Bacteria; Pseudomonadati; Pseudomonadota; Gammaproteobacteria; Enterobacterales; Enterobacteriaceae.
GAAUGCUGACAUAAGUAACGAUAAAGCGGGUGAAAAGCCCGCUCGCCGGAAGACCAAGGGUUCCUGUCCAACGUUAAUCGGGGCAGGGUGAGUCGACCCCUAAGGCGAGGCCGAAAGGCGUAGUCGAUGGGAAACGGGUUAAUAUUCCCGUACUUGGUGUUACUGCGAAGGGGGGACGGAGAAGGCUAUGUUGGCCGGGCGACGGUUGUCCCGGUUUAAGCGUGUAGGUGUGUGUUCCAGGUAAAUCCGGUUCACUUUAACACUGAGGCGUGAUGACGAGGCACUACGGUGCUGAAGCAACAAAUGCCCUGCUUCCAGGAAAAGCCUCUAAGCAUCAGGUAACAUCAAAUCGUACCCCAAACCGACACAGGUGGUCAGGUAGAGAAUACCAAGGCGCUUGAGAGAACUCGGGUGAAGGAACUAGGCAAAAUGGUGCCGUAACUUCGGGAGAAGGCACGCUGACACGUAGGUGAAGUGAUUUACUCAUGGAGCUGAAGUCAGUCGAAGAUACCAGCUGGCUGCAACUGUUUAUUAAAAACACAGCACUGUGCAAACACGAAAGUGGACGUAUACGGUGUGACGCCUGCCCGGUGCCGGAAGGUUAAUUGAUGGGGUCAGCGCAAGCGAAGCUCCUGAUCGAAGCCCCGGUAAACGGCGGCCGUAACUAUAACGGUCCUAAGGUAGCGAAAUUCCUUGUCGGGUAAGUUCCGACCUGCACGAAUGGCGUAAUGAUGGCCAGGCUGUCUCCACCCGAGACUCAGUGAAAUUGAACUCGCUGUGAAGAUGCAGUGUACCCGCGGCAAGACGGAAAGACCCCGUGAACCUUUACUAUAGCUUGACACUGAACAUUGAGCCUUGAUGUGUAGGAUAGGUGGGAGGCUUUGAAGUGUGGACGCCAGUCUGCAUGGAGCCGACCUUGAAAUACCACCCUUUAAUGUUUGAUGUUCUAACGUGGACCCGUGAUCCGGGUUGCGGACAGUGUCUGGUGGGUAGUUUGACUGGGGCGGUCUCCUCCUAAAGAGUAACGGAGGAGCACGAAGGUUGGCUAAUCCUGGUCGGACAUCAGGAGGUUAGUGCAAUGGCAUAAGCCAGCUUGACUGCGAGCGUGACGGCGCGAGCAGGUGCGAAAGCAGGUCAUAGUGAUCCGGUGGUUCUGAAUGGAAGGGCCAUCGCUCAACGGAUAAAAGGUACUCCGGGGAUAACAGGCUGAUACCGCCCAAGAGUUCAUAUCGACGGCGGUGUUUGGCACCUCGAUGUCGGCUCAUCACAUCCUGGGGCUGAAGUAGGUCCCAAGGGUAUGGCUGUUCGCCAUUUAAAGUGGUACGCGAGCUGGGUUUAGAACGUCGUGAGACAGUUCGGUCCCUAUCUGCCGUGGGCGCUGGAGAACUGAGGGGGGCUGCUCCUAGUACGAGAGGACCGGAGUGGACGCAUCACUGGUGUUCGGGUUGUCAUGCCAAUGGCACU